GGUUAAGCGACUAAGCGUACACGGUGGAUGCCCUGGCAGUCAGAGGCGAUGAAGGACGUGCUAAUCUGCGAUAAGCGUCGGUAAGGUGAUAUGAACCGUUAUAACCGGCGAUUUCCGAAUGGGGAAACCCAGUGUGUUUCGACACACUAUCAUUAACUGAAUCCAUAGGUUAAUGAGGCGAACCGGGGGAACUGAAACAUCUAAGUACCCCGAGGAAAAGAAAUCAACCGAGAUUCCCCCAGUAGCGGCGAGCGAACGGGGAGCAGCCCAGAGCCUGAAUCAGUGUGUGUGUUAGUGGAAGCGUCUGGAAAGGCGCGCGAUACAGGGUGACAGCCCCGUACACAAAAAUGCACAUGCUGUGAGCUCGAUGAGUAGGGCGGGACACGUGGUAUCCUGUCUGAAUAUGGGGGGACCAUCCUCCAAGGCUAAAUACUCCUGACUGACCGAUAGUGAACCAGUACCGUGAGGGAAAGGCGAAAAGAACCCCGGCGAGGGGAGUGAAAAAGAACCUGAAACCGUGUACGUACAAGCAGUGGGAGCACGCUUAGGCGUGUGACUGCGUACCUUUUGUAUAAUGGGUCAGCGACUUAUAUUCUGUAGCAAGGUUAACCGAAUAGGGGAGCCGAAGGGAAACCGAGUCUUAACUGGGCGUUAAGUUGCAGGGUAUAGACCCGAAACCCGGUGAUCUAGCCAUGGGCAGGUUGAAGGUUGGGUAACACUAACUGGAGGACCGAACCGACUAAUGUUGAAAAAUUAGCGGAUGACUUGUGGCUGGGGGUGAAAGGCCAAUCAAACCGGGAGAUAGCUGGUUCUCCCCGAAAGCUAUUUAGGUAGCGCCUCGUGAAUUCAUCUCCGGGGGUAGAGCACUGUUUCGGCAAGGGGGUCAUCCCGACUUACCAACCCGAUGCAAACUGCGAAUACCGGAGAAUGUUAUCACGGGAGACACACGGCGGGUGCUAACGUCCGUCGUGAAGAGGGAAACAACCCAGACCGCCAGCUAAGGUCCCAAAGUCAUGGUUAAGUGGGAAACGAUGUGGGAAGGCCCAGACAGCCAGGAUGUUGGCUUAGAAGCAGCCAUCAUUUAAAGAAAGCGUAAUAGCUCACUGGUCGAGUCGGCCUGCGCGGAAGAUGUAACGGGGCUAAACCAUGCACCGAAGCUGCGGCAGCGACGCUUAUGCGUUGUUGGGUAGGGGAGCGUUCUGUAAGCCUGUGAAGGUGUACUGUGAGGUAUGCUGGAGGUAUCAGAAGUGCGAAUGCUGACAUAAGUAACGAUAAAGCGGGUGAAAAGCCCGCUCGCCGGAAGACCAAGGGUUCCUGUCCAACGUUAAUCGGGGCAGGGUGAGUCGACCCCUAAGGCGAGGCCGAAAGGCGUAGUCGAUGGGAAACAGGUUAAUAUUCCUGUACUUGGUGUUACUGCGAAGGGGGGACGGAGAAGGCUAUGUUGGCCGGGCGACGGUUGUCCCGGUUUAAGCGUGUAGGCUGGUUUUCCAGGCAAAUCCGGAAAAUCAAGGCUGAGGCGUGAUGACGAGGCACUACGGUGCUGAAGCAACAAAUGCCCUGCUUCCAGGAAAAGCCUCUAAGCAUCAGGUAACAUCAAAUCGUACCCCAAACCGACACAGGUGGUCAGGUAGAGAAUACCAAGGCGCUUGAGAGAACUCGGGUGAAGGAACUAGGCAAAAUGGUGCCGUAACUUCGGGAGAAGGCACGCUGAUAUGUAGGUGAAGUCCCUCGCGGAUGGAGCUGAAAUCAGUCGAAGAUACCAGCUGGCUGCAACUGUUUAUUAAAAACACAGCACUGUGCAAACACGAAAGUGGACGUAUACGGUGUGACGCCUGCCCGGUGCCGGAAGGUUAAUUGAUGGGGUUAGCGCAAGCGAAGCUCUUGAUCGAAGCCCCGGUAAACGGCGGCCGUAACUAUAACGGUCCUAAGGUAGCGAAAUUCCUUGUCGGGUAAGUUCCGACCUGCACGAAUGGCGUAAUGAUGGCCAGGCUGUCUCCACCCGAGACUCAGUGAAAUUGAACUCGCUGUGAAGAUGCAGUGUACCCGCGGCAAGACGGAAAGACCCCGUGAACCUUUACUAUAGCUUGACACUGAACAUUGAGCCUUGAUGUGUAGGAUAGGUGGGAGGCUUUGAAGUGUGGACGCCAGUCUGCAUGGAGCCGACCUUGAAAUACCACCCUUUAAUGUUUGAUGUUCUAACGUGGACCCGUAAUCCGGGUUGCGGACAGUGUCUGGUGGGUAGUUUGACUGGGGCGGUCUCCUCCUAAAGAGUAACGGAGGAGCACGAAGGUUGGCUAAUCCUGGUCGGACAUCAGGAGGUUAGUGCAAUGGCAUAAGCCAGCUUGACUGCGAGCGUGACGGCGCGAGCAGGUGCGAAAGCAGGUCAUAGUGAUCCGGUGGUUCUGAAUGGAAGGGCCAUCGCUCAACGGAUAAAAGGUACUCCGGGGAUAACAGGCUGAUACCGCCCAAGAGUUCAUAUCGACGGCGGUGUUUGGCACCUCGAUGUCGGCUCAUCACAUCCUGGGGCUGAAGUAGGUCCCAAGGGUAUGGCUGUUCGCCAUUUAAAGUGGUACGCGAGCUGGGUUUAGAACGUCGUGAGACAGUUCGGUCCCUAUCUGCCGUGGGCGCUGGAGAAUUGAGGGGGGCUGCUCCUAGUACGAGAGGACCGGAGUGGACGCAUCACUGGUGUUCGGGUUGUCAUGCCAAUGGCACUGCCCGGUAGCUAAAUGCGGAAGAGAUAAGUGCUGAAAGCAUCUAAGCACGAAACUUGCCCCGAGAUGAGUUCUCCCUGACUCCUUGAGAGUCCUGAAGGAACGUUGAAGACGACGACGUUGAUAGGCCGGGUGUGUAAGCGCAGCGAUGCGUUGAGCUAACCGGUACUAAUGAACCGUGAGGCUUAACCUU
Molecule: ribosomal RNA, 2904 nt
Filed under: Escherichia coli
Lineage: Bacteria; Pseudomonadati; Pseudomonadota; Gammaproteobacteria; Enterobacterales; Enterobacteriaceae
Description: 23S ribosomal RNA
Rfam family: Bacterial large subunit ribosomal RNA
Source: RNAcentral